CAGUAGCCGCGGUAAUACGAGGGGUGCAAGCGUUAUUCGGAUUGAUUGGGUGUAAAGGGCGUGCAGACGGCUUAUUAAGUCACUUGUUAAAUUCUUCGGCCUAACUGAAGGUCUGCAAGUGAUACUGAUGAGCUAGAGGGUGGAAGAGAGAAGUGGAAUUCUCGGAGUAGCGGUAAAAUGCGUAGAUCUCGAGAGGAACACCAAUGGCGAAGGCAGCUUCUUGAUCCAUUCCUGACGUUCAUACACGAAAGCGUGGGGAGCAAACAGGAUUAGAUACCCCCGUAGUCCCUGUCUCUUAUAC
This 301-nucleotide ribosomal RNA is filed under the name uncultured bacterium. RNAcentral describes it as "partial 16S ribosomal RNA". It matches the Rfam family "Bacterial small subunit ribosomal RNA", at positions 509 to 807 of the family's 1533-position model. The record is from RNAcentral.